UUGAGCAAGUGGGGAGAAAAAAACAGAGAAGAACCAAGAAGCAAGAAGAGACCGAUUUUCUGUAGAGUUUUUGUGCAAAUUGAAUUCAGGUGAUUCAGAGUAGUAUAUGUGGUGGCUCAACCGUUUAGGUCUCUGAUACGUACAUGAUGGGAAUUAGUUAUUAUUGUUUUUCAUUCCUUAUGUAUCAAUUUUGGAUUACGUUGUAGAGCCUGUUUAUUAUGAUUUGGAUAAUGUUGUUGACUUUAUGAUGGGGCUUUUAGUGCCAGAACUUAUUAUUGGAUGUCAUGUAUUGAAAAUCAUUCCGCUGCAAAUUGUUGGUUGUUUAUUAAAUAGUAUUUUAUCUAUUUAA
This 349-nucleotide long non-coding RNA is filed under the name Medicago truncatula (barrel medic). Its description in RNAcentral is "lncRNA gene1480". Lineage: Eukaryota; Viridiplantae; Streptophyta; Magnoliopsida; Fabales; Fabaceae. The record is from RNAcentral.